UACGGGGGGGGCAAGCGUUGUUCGGAAUUACUGGGCGUAAAGGGCUCGUAGGCGGCCAACUAAGUCAGACGUGAAAUCCCUCGGCUUAACCGGGGAACUGCAUCUGAUACUGGAUGGCUUGAGUUCGGGAGAGGGAUGCGGAAUUCCAGGUGUAGCGGUGAAAUGCGUAGAUAUCUGGAGGAACACCAAUUGCGAAGGCAGCUCGCUGGGACGUUACUGACGCUGAGACGCGAAAGCGUGGGGGGCAAACAGG
RNAcentral lists this ribosomal RNA (253 nucleotides) under uncultured bacterium. Its description in RNAcentral is "partial 16S ribosomal RNA". It matches the Rfam family "Bacterial small subunit ribosomal RNA", at positions 524 to 776 of the family's 1533-position model. The record is from RNAcentral.